UACAGAUGUAACAACUUUUGUUGUACAACCUUUGCUGAAGGUUUCGUGUUCCUUCAUUUAGCGUAUUAUAAUUUGCUUAACCAAUUUUUCUCAUUUUUAAAAUUUCUUUGAAACAGAACAGAGGGGUACAGACAUUGUCCUAGACAAUAGUUCUAUUCAAGCUCAAGCUUGAAUAGAACUCAAGCUCUUCAUGGCCAAAUCACAGUCAUACAUAGUCAUGUGGGUGGUUUAUCAUAUGUCCUUUCCUGCCCCUUCUGCGAGGUGAAAAGGAUAGUCUCCCACAGAGGGGCAUUUCACCCAGGUGAUGUUUGCAACUUUUUAAGCAGGCCGGUCCGGGAACUGCAAGGCAGUCUGUACCUUUAAUGACUUCAUUCCUCUUUCUCUAUCCCAGCUCUGCCUUCAGAGAUUUCUGCAUUCUUCCAAGGGAAACCAGCAAAAUAUGAAGAAGUCCUGUAGGGAGAAGCAGAAACCCAGGACAG
Long non-coding RNA from Mustela erminea (ermine), 479 nucleotides. RefSeq lists it as uncharacterized. The transcript is spliced from 3 exons. NCBI's taxonomy places the organism in Eukaryota, Metazoa, Chordata, Mammalia, Carnivora, Mustelidae. The record is from RefSeq and is a predicted model, not a curated record.